Long non-coding RNA from Neofelis nebulosa (Clouded leopard), 1002 nucleotides. RefSeq lists it as uncharacterized. NCBI's taxonomy places the organism in Eukaryota, Metazoa, Chordata, Mammalia, Carnivora, Felidae. The record is from RefSeq and is a predicted model, not a curated record. The transcript is spliced from 3 exons.
GGUUAGCAUCCGUUGAGCGGUGCAGACGCCUCGACCGUGAAAAGCUGAGCAGAGACCGAGAGCCUCGUUUCAUAUGAGGCUGGGUAAAGGUCAUCUGAAGUCCUUCCCCGGUGAGCUAAUGCCCUUCGGUUGUGACCACCCCGGAUUUGAAACCGUGACCUACCGCUUUGCCCCACGCAAAGGACGAGUGCUCUGAAACGGACUUGCCAUAAGACAUCAUGGGCCGCUCUAAAUUGUCCGGGAGGACAGGCGUGUGUCCUGCAGCGUGGUCGGUCCAUUCAGAAGAAUCUUGAAUGUUCACAUGCCUCGUGACUUACGAAUGCAUAUUCACCGACGUCAGAGAUCAGGACGUGUGCUUCCUGAGCUUAUUACUGUAACAAGUUUCUCCCAUGCUACUGGGCAGAUUCUCCGUGUCUCCUCGUCCAGACUACUGACUCAGUUUAAGAUUACAUCCUUUUCUCCUUUGCUUUUAUUGCAUUUGCCCUGUAAAACUCAUUCCCUUCGCCUCAUAGGACACCUAGAGACACCAGGGGCAUUCCAAGACUGGGCAUGAGGUGCAGGAGGCCUAACCGCCAGGGAUGGACUUUCUGGGCAUCUUUACCUCUUACAUGGAGAGGUCUCAGGGCCUCUCAGUGUGGCAUCUCUUUAUCUGGCUAGUUGAGCUUCCUCACAGCAUGGCUGCCUUGAGACAAGAAGAUGACUCAUGAGAACUGAAAGCUUCAAGACUCAGCAUUCCAACAGAAAGGCAGAAGCUAUGAAGACUUUUCCAACCGAGACACCGGAGUCACACAGCACCAUUUCCACGGCAUUCUCUUAUUUACAAGUGAAUCCCAAGCGUAUCCAGAUUCCGGGAGAGGGGAAUAAGACACUACUUCCUAUUGGGAGUGUGGCACAGUUCUAGAAGAGCAUUGGGUAAUGGCUAUACUUGGAUAGUAUAAUCUACCACAGAGAGUGCUGCCCAAGCAUUGUUUGUGAAACAAGUAAAUAAAUAGUUCUUAAUGA